AACGAACGCUGGCGGCAUGCCUAACACAUGCAAGUCGAACGAGACCUUCGGGUCUAGUGGCGCACGGGUGCGUAACGCGUGGGAACCUGCCCUUAGGUUCGGCAUAGCUCCCCGAAAGGGGUGCUAAUACCGGACAAUGUCUUCGGACCAAAGAUUUAUCGCCUUUGGAUGGGCCCGCGUUGGAUUAGCUAGUUGGUAGGGUAAAAGCCUACCAAGGCGACGAUCCAUAGCUGGUCUGAGAGGAUGAUCAGCCACACUGGGACUGAGACACGGCCCAGACUCCUACGGGAGGCAGCAGUGGGGAAUAUUGGACAAUGGGCGAAAGCCUGAUCCAGCAAUGCCGCGUGAGUGAUGAAGGCCUUAGGGUUGUAAAGCUCUUUUACCCGGGAUGAUAAUGACAGUACCGGGAGAAUAAGCUCCGGCUAACUCCGUG
RNAcentral lists this ribosomal RNA (433 nucleotides) under uncultured bacterium. Its description in RNAcentral is "partial 16S ribosomal RNA". It matches the Rfam family "Bacterial small subunit ribosomal RNA", at positions 29 to 507 of the family's 1533-position model. The record is from RNAcentral.